Molecule: long non-coding RNA, 301 nt
Filed under: Carica papaya (papaya)
Lineage: Eukaryota; Viridiplantae; Streptophyta; Magnoliopsida; Brassicales; Caricaceae
Description: long non-coding RNA (CPAP_LNC004157)
Source: RNAcentral
UACUAGUAUCCAUGGGGGUUCAUAGGAAUGCCCCUGCUACAUGUGAACCCUUUCAUUUAUCAUUCUCAAUUAUGGAUCGUCCCCAUACCCCCGUCCGAUAUGAGCGCCAAUUUACUAAACCUUAAUACCAAGUCCGGUAUAAGGGUGAAGCGGGCCGUCCCCAUAUCUCAUCCGGUAUGAGUGCCAAAUUAUCAAGUCUCUGUACCCCGUCCGGUAUGAGACAACGUUUAUGGUAGGGUUCCCUAUGUACCCGAUCCGUUCACCAUCUCCCAGGAUAUUCAGUAAGACUGUCGUUUCAUCU